AUUGAACGCUGGAGGCAGGCUUAACACAUGCACGUCGAGCGAGAGGCGGACGGGUGAGUAAUGUUUGGGAAACUGCCUGAUGGCGGGGGAUAACUACUGGAAACAGUAGCUAAUACCGCCUACCAUACGAUGUGCCCAGAUGGGAUUAGCUAGUAGGUGGGGUAAUGGCUCAACUAGGCGACGAUCCCUAGCUGGUCUGAGAGGAUGACCAGCCACACUGGAACUGAGACACGGUCCAGACUCCUACGGUAGGCAGCAGUGGGGAAUAUUGCACAAUGGGCGCAAGCCUGAUGCAGCCAUGCCGCGUGUGUGAAGAAGGCCUUCGGGUUGUAAAGCACUUUCAGCGAGGAGGCGUUACUCGCAGAAGAAGCACCGGCUAACUCCGUGCCAGCAGCCGCGGUAAUUC
This 406-nucleotide ribosomal RNA is filed under the name uncultured bacterium. RNAcentral describes it as "partial 16S ribosomal RNA". It matches the Rfam family "Bacterial small subunit ribosomal RNA", at positions 30 to 526 of the family's 1533-position model. The record is from RNAcentral.